GGAAUAUAAAAACCUGUCUUUUAAUUUUUAAUUUAAAAAACUAAAAAUCGGCUCUUUAAUAAUAUAUUUAAGAACCGGCUUUUAGCUUUUUUAGUUAAAAAUUAAGAGACGAAUUUUUAUAUUCC
This is a non-coding RNA of Brassica napus (rape), 125 nucleotides long. Lineage: Eukaryota; Viridiplantae; Streptophyta; Magnoliopsida; Brassicales; Brassicaceae. The record is from Rfam.